GAGUUUGAUCCUGGCUCAGGAUGAACGCUAGCGGGAGGCUUAAUACAUGCAAGUCGAGGGGCAGCAGUUCGGCUGGCGACCGGCGCACGGGUGAGUAACGCGUACGCAAUCUACCUUUAAGAGAGGGAUAGCCCCGGGAAACUGGGAUUAAUACCUCAUAGUAUCAUUGGAUCGCAUGGUUUGAUGAUUAAAGCUUCGGCGCUUAAAGAUGAGCGUGCGUGUUAUUAGCUAGUUGGUGAGGUAACGGCUCACCAAGGCUACGAUAGCUAGGGGGCGUGAGAGCGUGAUCCCCCACACGGGUACUGAGACACGGACCCGACUCCUACGGGAGGCAGCAGUAAGGAAUAUUGGACAAUGGGCGCAAGCCUGAUCCAGCCAUCCCGCGUGCAGGAUGACGGCCCUAUGGGUUGUAAUCUGCUUUUAUCUGGGAAGAAACGAAUCCAUUUAUGGGUUUCUGACGGUACCAUAUGAAUAAGCACCGGCUAACUCCGUGCCAGCAGCCGCG
RNAcentral lists this ribosomal RNA (505 nucleotides) under uncultured bacterium. RNAcentral's name for it is "bacterial SSU rRNA". It matches the Rfam family "Bacterial small subunit ribosomal RNA", at positions 9 to 519 of the family's 1533-position model. The record is from RNAcentral.